CGACUGCUGCCGAAAGGUAGAGGAAAGUCCAUGCUCGCACAGCCUGUGAUGGCUGUAGUGUUUGCGCCAGGCCAAUCAAUAAGCCUGGGUACGCGGGAGCGCGUAACGGCGGAGGAACGUCUCACGUAGACGGGAAUCCCUAAGGUGCCACAGAGACGAGCUUGAUGGCGACAUCAAGAUGAAACGCGGCAAACCCCACAAGCGAGAAACCCAAAUUUGGUAGGGGAAGCGUCCAAUCCGAAUCGAAGGAAAGGACGCCAGGUCAGCCUGAGAUAAAUUGUCGUCCUCGACAUAACAUGGCUUAUAG
Molecule: RNase P RNA, 307 nt
Filed under: bovine gut metagenome
Description: Bacterial RNase P class B
Rfam family: Bacterial RNase P class B
About the family: Ribonuclease P (RNase P) is a ubiquitous endoribonuclease, found in archaea, bacteria and eukarya as well as chloroplasts and mitochondria. Its best characterised activity is the generation of mature 5'-ends of tRNAs by cleaving the 5'-leader elements of precursor-tRNAs.
Source: RNAcentral